UGUUCUUCGGAGCACGGUCGUGACUGCGUGCCUUUUGAAGAAUGAGCCUGCGAGUUUGCGGUGUGUUGCGAGGUUAACCCGUGUGGGGAAGCCGUAGCGAAAGCGAGUCCGAAUAGGGCGAUGUAGUAGCGCGCUCAAGACCCGAAGCGGAGUGAUCUAGCCAUGGGCAGGUUGAAGCGCGGGUAAGACCGUGUGGAGGACCGAACCCACCAGGGUUGAAAACCUGGGGGAUGACCUGUGG
This 241-nucleotide ribosomal RNA is filed under the name Streptomyces xinghaiensis. Its description in RNAcentral is "partial 23S ribosomal RNA". It matches the Rfam family "Bacterial large subunit ribosomal RNA", at positions 580 to 814 of the family's 2925-position model. Lineage: Bacteria; Bacillati; Actinomycetota; Actinomycetes; Kitasatosporales; Streptomycetaceae. The record is from RNAcentral.